GAUGAAGAACGUAGCGAAAUGCGAUAAGUAAUGUGAAUUGCAGAAUUCAGUGAAUCAUCGAAUCUUUGAACGCACAUUGCGCCCGCGAGUAUUCUCGCGGGCAUGCCUGUCCGAGCGUCAUUUCAACCCUCAGGGCCCGCCUGCUUCGGCAGGCGCGGCGCUGGUGUUGGGGAUCGGCCUAACCGCCGUCCCCCAAAUACAGUGGCGGUCUCGCUGCAGCCUCCCCUGCGUAGUAGCAACACUCGCAUGCGGAGCGCGGCGCGGCCACGCCGUAAAACCCCCGACUUUCUGAACGUUGACCUCGGAUCAGGUAGGAAUACACGCUGAACUUAAGCAUAUCAAUAAGCGGAGGA
RNAcentral lists this unclassified non-coding RNA (353 nucleotides) under soil metagenome. Its description in RNAcentral is "partial contains 5.8S ribosomal RNA, internal transcribed spacer 2, and large subunit ribosomal RNA". The stretch from base 1 to 120 matches the Rfam family "5.8S ribosomal RNA", at positions 35 to 154 of the family's 154-position model. The record is from RNAcentral.